GCAACUAUGGUCGGCCAACCAUCUGCUGAAUUUCUGCAUCCAAGAAGAGGAAGCAACACAUAAUUCAGGCAUCUCGCAGUCGCAGGCAGUGUUGCUAUCAUCUUGUCGUAAAAUUCAUUCAGCAAACCGUGUCCGUGAAUUGGGGAGAAUGAAGAGAACUUCAUCCAAUACAUUUGAGGCCGUGAACACGAGCAGGUGAAAAAUUGAGCAACAACUUCCUACUGUAGUAUAGUGACCAAUCAAGGGCUCCGAACUUACCGGAAAAAAAGAAGGGCUCCGAACAAAUCGAACAGGGGAACUGGAUAUGUAUAUGGAAAAAACACAACCGAGUUUUGGGUGGGGAUAUGCCAAGAACUACUUCCAACGUACCGAACCUGAUAGAUAUAGCACAGUAGAGUGUGAACCUACCCUCACUGUUCCAUUAUCCAAAGCAGACCAAUGAAAUACCGCUGGUACGUACAGCUCCAGCACGGAAUACAGAGACGGCAAGCACAUAAAAGGAAAGCAGCAAGACGAAUCAAAGGACACAAGUGCACAGCCCAACCAAAAAGAGCAAAAAGCAGAGGAGGAUCAACCCAACCUUGA
Molecule: long non-coding RNA, 585 nt
Filed under: Hordeum vulgare
Lineage: Eukaryota; Viridiplantae; Streptophyta; Magnoliopsida; Poales; Poaceae
Description: long non-coding RNA (HVUL_LNC004530)
Source: RNAcentral